This 1283-nucleotide ribosomal RNA is filed under the name Philotrypesis sp. JHX-2011. RNAcentral describes it as "large subunit ribosomal RNA". Lineage: Eukaryota; Metazoa; Arthropoda; Insecta; Hymenoptera; Pteromalidae. The record is from RNAcentral.
GUAAAUUUUUAUUUAUAUAUUUUUUAUUUUUAUUUAUAUAUUAUUAAUAUUUAAUAGUUUUUAUUAUUUAAAGUAAUAAUAUAAAAAAAUAAUUUUAGUAAAUUUAAUAAAAUUAAAUUAAUUUAUAUAAUUUUAGUAUUGAAAAAGAAAAAUUUUUAUUACUUUAAAAGAUAAUAUUAUUAAUUUUUACCUUUUGUAUCAGGGUUUAUUAAAUUUAUUAUUUAUAUAAUUAAAUUUCGAAAUAAAUUGAUCUAAUUUUUUAUAAUAAUUAAUGUUUAAUUAUUAUUAUAAAUAUAAAUUUAGAAAUUAAAUGUUUAACAAAAUUUAUGAUAUCUAAUUAUUUUAUAAAUAAAUUUAAUUUAAUUAUUAAUAGAGUAAAAUUUAAUUAAUUAAAUUUUAAUAGAUUAAUAAUAAAAUUAUUAGGGCUAAACUUAAUAAUUAUUUUAAUAUAAAAAUUUUAAGUUAAUAAAAAUUUAUUAUAAUGAUAAAAUUAGUAAAAUUUUUAUUAAUUUAUUAAAUUAUAUUAAUUAAUAGAUUAAUUAAAGGAAUUAGGCAAUAAUAUUUAUUCAUCUGUUUAUUAAAAACAUAGUUUAUUGAUAAUAAUAUUAAAUAAAAUCUGCUCAAUGAUUUAAAAUUAAAUAGCUGCAGUAUCUUAACUGUACAAAGGUAGCAUAAUCAGUUGGCUUUUUAUUAAAGUCUAGAAUGAAGGAUUAAAUGAAAUAAUAACUGUCUCUAAUUAAAUAUUUAUUAAACUUUAUUUUAAGUUAAAAUUCUUAAAUUAUUUUAAAAGACGAGAAGACCCUAUAGAAUUUUAUAAUUAAUUUAUUUAAAUAAUUUAAAUAAUUUAAAUUAUUAAAUUGGGGAAAUAUUAAAAUUUAAAUAAUUUUUAUAAGUUAUAAAUAAUUAUUUUUAAAUUUUUAUUAAAUUAAAUUAAUAUUAUUAAAUUUAUAAUAAAUUACCUUAGGGAUAACAGCGUUAAAUUUUUAGAAAGCUCAUAUUGAUAAAAAAAUUUGCGACCUCGAUGUUGAAUUAAAAUAAAUUAUUAUUGUAGAUAAUAAUAAAAUUUAGUCUGUUCGACUAUUAAAAUUUUACAUGAUUUGAGUUUAGAUCGGUGUAAGCCAGAUCGGGUUCUAUCUUUAAAUUACUAAAAUAUUUUUGUACGAAAGGACUAAAUAUUAAUAUUAAAUUAUUUAAAAUUGAAUAAUAUAUUAUUUUAACAUAUUUAAUGUAUUAAAUUUAAAAUUUAAAGUUAAUAAUUAAAUAAUAUUUAAAAAUUAAUUAAU